CUGGGAGACUCCCUGGGGGCUGGGCACUGCCCAGAGGAGAGGAAGCCACGUGCUGGAGGGCACCUGACGGCUACUCAGGCGGGGUGCUGGAGCUCUGUGUGCUCCAGACAGAGGGGCUGGGACAUGGGAGUCCAGGGUGCAGCCUGGCGCCUGCACUGCAAGUGAUUCAGAAUGUGUGGGGAGACCGACAGCUUACCCCAGAUUCAGUGCUUGGUGCUUGGUGGUCUGGUGGAGGCGAGGACAGGAAGAGAGCUGGCCCGGUAGGGUGACAGUCUCCAGCCCCUUUACCCUGAAGACACAGCAGCCGUGGGUUAGAAGCUGUGACGCUUGGCCUCUGAGCUGAUAUGUGACGUUCCACAGUAGUUUCAUCCACUGUGAGCUGAAGGUAUGGAGCGGCAUCUGCAUUUGCACCACUGGGUCCCUUACUUCUGACUGGAGGGGGUUACGGUUGGGACGGAGCCUGGAGGGUCCUUCCAGAUUCUCUUCUCCAGAGACUUGGAUUCAGGACUUGAGUGAGAUUUGCUUCUGUGUCUGAAGUGUUGCCUCCGAAAAGAUAUAAACCAGCUACAAGCUGGCUGUAUGUAGGGAACUCUGGAAGCAAAGCUGCAAGAAAGCAGGAAAGAAGAGGGGGAACAGGAACUGGAGCCCAUGUCCAGCAUACAGCUGCCUUUGCUGCCCACACUGAGUCAGAGCUCACUGCAGUCCCGAGAGCAGCUUCAUGGAUCCAGGCCCUGUCUUUUAUGAGGCACUUCUCUACAUCCUGCACUUCAGUUGGGGAGAUACCGGAGCUGAAUUGCUCCUCAUCCCUGCCUGGCCCAGCCCCUGCUAGCCCUCAGGCAUAAGUGGAUGCAGGGGAGCAGUUCUGAACCUUCUGGGAAGAAUAAAGUGACCCAAGACCAGGAUCACCCACUGCUUUCUUCUGGAAUCAGGUGUGACUCUGUCCUCAUCUAGACACUGGAGGUAAUUCAGGCCCUCCGCUCCCUAAAGUGCCCCAUGACCAUUUUAAGGAGGCAUUGUACCUCACCGUCUACAAUUUGGACUGUAUCUCUACAAGAAAAUAAUUCAGGGAAAUUACAUCAAGUUAAGAAGACAACCGUGGUGUGUAUCCUGAUUUCAGCCAUGUAACACAGACUGUACGAAAUUGCUUGGUGUAGAAAGGGGCUUCAGGUGUGUGGUAGUUGAUCUUUAAUGCGCGAGACUUUGCUCCUCU
Molecule: long non-coding RNA, 1210 nt
Organism: Capra hircus (goat)
Lineage: Eukaryota; Metazoa; Chordata; Mammalia; Artiodactyla; Bovidae
Exons: 5
Source: RefSeq, a predicted model, not a curated record